CGGGGUGCAGCAGGCGCGAAAACUCUACAAUGCAGGCAACUGCGAUAGGGGAACAUCGAGUGAUCCUCAUAUUGGGGGUCUGUCCACCCGUCUAAAAAACGGGUGUUAGCAAGGGCCGGGCAAGACCGGUGCCAGCCGCCGCGGUAAUACCGGCGGCUCGAGUGGUGGCCGAUAUUAUUGAGUCUAAAGGGUCCGUAGCCGGCUUUGCAAGUCUCUCGGGAAAUCCAGCGGCUUAACCGUUGGUCGUCCGGGGGGUACUACAUUGCUUGGGACUGGGAGAGGUAGGAGGUACUCAGGGGGUAGGAGUGAAAUCCUGUAAUCCUUUGGGGACCACCGGUGGCGAAGGCGUCCUACCAGAACAGGUCCGACGGUGAGGGACGAAAGCUAGGGGCGCGAACCGGAUUAGAUACCCGGGUAGUCCUAGCCGUAAACGAUGCUCGCUAGGUGUCACAACAGUCGUGAACUGUUGUGGUGCCGUAGGGAAGCCGUGAAGCGAGCCACUUGGGAAGUACGACCGCAAGGUUGAAACUUAAAGGAAUUGGCGGGGGAGCACAAGGGCGAAUU
This 564-nucleotide ribosomal RNA is filed under the name uncultured archaeon. RNAcentral describes it as "bacterial SSU rRNA". It matches the Rfam family "Archaeal small subunit ribosomal RNA", at positions 326 to 894 of the family's 1478-position model. The record is from RNAcentral.